CUAUAAGUGAAUCUUUUCUUUAUUUUUUUAUAAAGAAGAAAAUAAUUUUGUCAACCUUCUUAGACUACAUCCAAUAUAUUUUAUAAAAUGUGCUAUAACAAGUCAUCCUAUAAAACUCCAUCUGACCAUGUUUUCUGCCAUCUCUUCCAACUACAUUAAAAAAAUAUAUUUUACAACAUAUAUGGUCAAUGAUAUAUCACAAAUGAUACAAGAUACUUAUGAUAUAUAUUAUAUAAUGUGUGAUAUGUUUCUAUGAUGCUACAAAUCUGAAAAAAAUAGAGUAAAGAAAGGAAGGGAGAUGCUGAAAACAUAUACGAGACAAACAAAUGACAGAUGAAACAUAUAUAGCACACAAAUACAAAUACAGGUUAAAAGAGAUUAAACCACAAAUUAUUUGAUACAAAACCGCAACAAGAGCUGACCUUUUCCAGUCUCAUACAAAUGCAUGAGUGCACAUAAGACCUUUUUCUUCUGUAAAGCGUUGCUUCUUUUUUUUUUUUUUUCUGUUUUUCAUAAAGUAUUGUAAACUUUGUCACAAUGGCAUCGCCAUCAGCUACAUUUUUUUAAUAUACCACUCAACCA
RNAcentral lists this long non-coding RNA (582 nucleotides) under Elaeis guineensis (African oil palm). RNAcentral describes it as "long non-coding RNA (EGUI_LNC034056)". Lineage: Eukaryota; Viridiplantae; Streptophyta; Magnoliopsida; Arecales; Arecaceae. The record is from RNAcentral.